GGACCUGACUGCUAUCGGAUUAAUACUAAGCCAUGCGAGUUUUUGUAGUAAUACAAGGCAUACGGCUCAGUAACACGUAGUCAACCUACCCUAUGGACGAGGAUAAUCUCGGGAAACUGAGCAUAAUACUCGAUAGACCAUAAUGCCUGGAAUGGUUUAUGGUUGAAAUGAUUCGUCGCCAUAAGAUGGGACUGCGGCCUAUCAGCUUGUUGGUGAGGUAAUGGCCCACCAAGGCGAUUACAGGUACGGGCUCUGAGAGGAGAGGCCCGGAGAUGGGUACUGAGACAAGGACCCAGGCCCUAUGGGGCGCAGCAGGCGAGAAAACUUUGCAAUGUGCGAAAGCACGACAAGGUUAGUCCGAGUGAUUUCUGCUAAAGAAAUCUUUUGCAAGUUCUAAAACCACUAGUGAAUAAGGGGUGGGCAAGUUCUGGUGUCAGCC
This 439-nucleotide ribosomal RNA is filed under the name uncultured archaeon. RNAcentral's name for it is "bacterial SSU rRNA". It matches the Rfam family "Archaeal small subunit ribosomal RNA", at positions 19 to 463 of the family's 1478-position model. The record is from RNAcentral.